Molecule: ribosomal RNA, 244 nt
Filed under: uncultured bacterium
Lineage: Bacteria
Description: partial 16S ribosomal RNA
Rfam family: Bacterial small subunit ribosomal RNA
Source: RNAcentral
GAGGAUGCGAGCGUUAUCCGGAUUUAUUGGGUUUAAAGGGUGCGUAGGCGGACUUUUAAGUCAGCGGUAAAAAUGCGGUGCUUAACGCCGUAGUGCCGUUGAAACUGAGAGUCUUGAGUGAGCGAGAAGUAUGCGGAAUGAGUGGUGUAGCGGUGAAAUGCAUAGAUAUCACUCAGAACACCGAUUGCGAAGGCAGCAUACCGGCGCUCAACUGACGCUGAGGCACGAAAGCGUGGGGAUCGAA